RNAcentral lists this unclassified non-coding RNA (342 nucleotides) under Linnemannia exigua. RNAcentral's name for it is "sequence contains 5.8S rRNA gene". The stretch from base 1 to 53 matches the Rfam family "5.8S ribosomal RNA", at positions 102 to 154 of the family's 154-position model. Lineage: Eukaryota; Fungi; Mortierellomycota; Mortierellomycetes; Mortierellales; Mortierellaceae. The record is from RNAcentral.
GAACGCAUAUUGCGCUCUUUGGUAUUCCGAAGAGCAUGCUUGUUUGAGUAUCAGUAAACACCUCAAAGACUUUCAAUUUGUUUUGAAUGGCUUUGGACUUGAGCAAUCCCAACACCAGUCUUUACGAUCGGUGGAGGGUUGCUUGAAAUGCAGGUGCAGCUGGACAUUCUCCUGAGCUAAAAGCAUAUUUAUUUAGUCCCGUCAAACGGAUUAUUACUUUUGCUGCAGCUAACAUAAAGGGAGUUUGACCGUAUUGGCUGACUGAUGCAGGAUUUCACAAGGGUCGGCAACGAUUCUUGUAAAACUCGAUCUCAAAUCAAGUAAGACUACCCGCUGAACUUA